RNAcentral lists this ribosomal RNA (262 nucleotides) under uncultured bacterium. RNAcentral describes it as "partial 16S ribosomal RNA". It matches the Rfam family "Bacterial small subunit ribosomal RNA", at positions 524 to 776 of the family's 1533-position model. The record is from RNAcentral.
UACGAAGGGGGCUAGCGUUGCUCGGAAUCACUGGGCGUAAAGGGUGCGUAGGCGGGUCUUUAAGUCAGGGGUGAAAUCCUGGAGCUCAACUCCAGAACUGCCGUUUGAUACUGAGGAUCUUGAGUUCGGGAGAGGUGAGUGGAACUGCGAGUGUAGAGGUGAAAUUCGUAGAUAGUUCGCGAAGAACACCAGUGGCGAAGGCGGCUCACUGGCCCGAGUAACUGACGGCUGAGGCACGGAAAGCGUCGGGGAGCCAAACAGG